GCUCUGUGAGGAGGGCAUGAAGUGCAGGGCACAGCGGCUGCCCUGCCAUCUCCUCUUCCCGCUGGGAAGCACCGGCCACGAGGACGCUGUGGCCACCAGGUGGCGCUGUGGGCCAGGCUGUGCUGGCCAGGCUGCUGAGGGCAGGAGCCUGGAGCUGGCCCCUGGCUGAGAACCACAGGCCACGAGGACGCUGUGGCCACCAGGUGGCGCUGUGGGUCAGGCUGUGCUGGCCAGGCUGCUGAGGGCAGGAGCCUGGAGCUGGCCCCUGGCUGAGAACCACAGGCCACGAGGACGCUGUGGCCACCAGGUGGCGCUGUGGGUCAGGCUGCUGAGGGCAGGAGCCCAGUGGGCCCGGGGAUCUCCCUGGAGGGCCGGGGCAGUGUGGGGACGGGGGUGGCCACCAGGGACACACGGGACUCAAGUCCAAGUCCCCUAAAGUGCCAGCGACCCUGAGUGGGUCUCUGCCCCUUUGUGCUCCUGGGGUCACUCAGGGACUACACGCUGCAAAGACAAAUGUAUUUUGGUGCAAAAGAACCGGAAUCUGUGCAUAGUAUUUUUUUUAACAAUAUCCAUUUUCCAUAAACUCUGAAGACCUCAACGCAUGUGUGAAUCUUUUCUUGUCAAAAUAAACUCAGCUUUUGAUUCCA
Oryctolagus cuniculus (rabbit) is the source of this 647-nucleotide non-coding RNA. NCBI's taxonomy places the organism in Eukaryota, Metazoa, Chordata, Mammalia, Lagomorpha, Leporidae. The record is from RefSeq and is a predicted model, not a curated record.